ACCAUGGCUUCAAACAAUGUAGGUGCUGCACUUGGUGGUGAGUGCCUCAAGGAUCACUUGAGCCCAGGAGUUCUGGGCUGUAGUGCGCUAUGCCGAUUGGGUGUCCACACUAAGUUUGGUAUCAGUAUGGUGACCUCCUGAGAGUGGGGGACCACCAGGUUGCCUAAGGAGGGGUGAACUGGCCCAGGUCAGAAAUAGAGCAGGUCGAAACUUCCAUGCUGAUCAGUAGUGGGAUCGCGCCUGUGAAUAGCCACUGCACCCUAGCCAGGACAAGAUAGCAAGACCCCGUCUCUU
Callithrix jacchus (white-tufted-ear marmoset) is the source of this 294-nucleotide unclassified non-coding RNA. It matches the Rfam family "Metazoan signal recognition particle RNA". From Rfam's summary of the family: The signal recognition particle (SRP) is a universally conserved ribonucleoprotein. NCBI's taxonomy places the organism in Eukaryota, Metazoa, Chordata, Mammalia, Primates, Cebidae. The record is from Ensembl.